CUUGAAAUCUUUAAGCGAAACCUCCAAGCUCUCCUUGAAUCACAACAAUGGCGUAUGGGUGGGAGGAAAAACCUCUCGGGUUUUCUCUAGCUCUUCUAACCGAACCUUGCUUCCUUUCUCUUUUUUUCUAACCGAACCUUGCUUCCUUUCUCUUUUUUUCUAACCGAACCUUGCUUCCUUUCUCUUUUUUUCUUUUUUUCUUUCUUUCAUUUCUUUCUUCUCUUUUCUCUUUUCUUCUUGGAUAUGGGCGGACUUCUCAAAAGCAUAGCCUUAAAAUGGUUUUUUUUAUUUUAUUAUUUGUCACCUAUGGGCGGAUUGUCUAAAGUCUCACCUUUUCCAUCAUUUUUUUCUUUU
This 354-nucleotide long non-coding RNA is filed under the name Theobroma cacao (cacao). RNAcentral's name for it is "long non-coding RNA (TCAC_LNC001498)". Lineage: Eukaryota; Viridiplantae; Streptophyta; Magnoliopsida; Malvales; Malvaceae. The record is from RNAcentral.